UAUUCGCCGGUGUAUAGUCGUAGAUUGUCGCGGCGGGAAUUUUCAGUCUAUUUCUAAGUUCACGGCCGCAAGAGCUGUCUUGGUUACGAAUAUCGAGAUAUUUAAUAUUCAAUUUCCUUGAUGUCGUCAAGUUAGAAGUUCGCCAUUUUGAAUUUAUUAGCUAUCAACGAGGAAACUAACAUGUUGACUAUUUUCUAUUUUAUAAAGUAUGUGUGUGUGGCAGUUAUACAUAUCUAAAUUCGAAAUAUGUCACUAAUUAGAUCCAGUUUUAGAUGCCCUUUGAAAACAAUAAACAAUAAUUGCUUCUUGCGGAAAGUUGUUCACUGUCAUGAAUACUAUUACCGGCUUCAGCUUAGUUGACGGGAUCUAUUUCUGAACUAUAAU
Achroia grisella is the source of this 384-nucleotide long non-coding RNA. RefSeq lists it as uncharacterized. The transcript is spliced from 3 exons. The record is from RefSeq and is a predicted model, not a curated record. Lineage: Eukaryota; Metazoa; Arthropoda; Insecta; Lepidoptera; Pyralidae.